RNAcentral lists this ribosomal RNA (468 nucleotides) under uncultured bacterium. Its description in RNAcentral is "partial 16S ribosomal RNA". It matches the Rfam family "Bacterial small subunit ribosomal RNA", at positions 28 to 507 of the family's 1533-position model. The record is from RNAcentral.
GACGAACGCUGGCGGCGUGCUUAACACAUGCAAGUCGAACGGAAAGGCCCUGCUUUUGUGGGGUGCUCGAGUGGCGAACGGGUGAGUAACACGUGAGUAACCUGCCCUUGACUUUGGGAUAACUUCAGGAAACUGGGGCUAAUACCGGAUAGGAGCUCCUGCUGCAUGGUGGGGGUUGGAAAGUUUCGGCGGUUGGGGAUGGACUCGCGGCUUAUCAGCUUGUUGGUGGGGUAGUGGCUUACCAAGGCUUUGACGGGUAGCCGGCCUGAGAGGGUGACCGGCCACAUUGGGACGGAGAUACGGCCCAGACUCCUACGGGAGGCAGCAGUGGGGAAUAUUGCACAAUGGGCGGAAGCCUGAUGCAGCACCGCCGCGUGCGGGAUGACGGCCUUCGGGUUGUAAACCGCUUUCGCCUGUGACGAAGCGUGAGUGACGGUAAUGGGUAAAGAAGCACCGGCUAACUACGUG